This 324-nucleotide ribosomal RNA is filed under the name uncultured eukaryote. Its description in RNAcentral is "partial 18S ribosomal RNA". It matches the Rfam family "Eukaryotic small subunit ribosomal RNA", at positions 1470 to 1796 of the family's 1831-position model. The record is from RNAcentral.
CCCUUAGAUGUUCUGGGCUGCACGCGCGCUACACUGAAGCUAUCAACACGUUUUCCCUCCCUGAGAAGGGCGGGUAACCUUUUGAAUCAGCUUCGUGGUAGGGAUCGGGGCUUGCAAUUGUUCCCCGUGAACCAGGAAUUCCUAGUAGACGCGAGUCAUAAGCUCGCAUCGAUUAAGUCCCUGCCCUUUGUACACACCGCCCGUCGCUACUACCGAUUGAACGUUUUAGUGAGGCAUUUGGACCGACGCAUCUCAGUUUAACCGCUGGUUUGUGUUGGAAAGACUUUCAAACUUGAGCGUUUAGAGGAAGUAAAAGUCGUAACA